GCCUACGGGGGGCAGCAGUAGGGAAUCUUCCACAAUGGGCGAAAGCCUGAUGGAGCAACGCCGCGUGGGUGAAGAAGGUCUUCGGAUCGUAAAACCCUGUUGUUAGAGAAGAAAGUGCGUUAGAGUAACUGUUCACGUUUCGACGGCAUCUAACCAGAAAGCCACGGCUAACUACGUGCCAGCAGCCGCGGUAAUACGUAGGUGGCAAGCGUUAUCCGGAUUUAUUGGGCGUAAAGAGAACGCAGGCGGUCUUUUAAGUCUGAUGUGAAAGCCUUCGGCUUAACCGGAGUAGUGCAUUGGAAACU
RNAcentral lists this ribosomal RNA (305 nucleotides) under uncultured bacterium. RNAcentral describes it as "bacterial SSU rRNA". It matches the Rfam family "Bacterial small subunit ribosomal RNA", at positions 337 to 634 of the family's 1533-position model. The record is from RNAcentral.